Molecule: ribosomal RNA, 535 nt
Filed under: uncultured Rhodospirillaceae bacterium
Lineage: Bacteria; Pseudomonadati; Pseudomonadota; Alphaproteobacteria; Rhodospirillales; Rhodospirillaceae
Description: bacterial SSU rRNA
Rfam family: Bacterial small subunit ribosomal RNA
Source: RNAcentral
GAGUUUGAUCCUGGCUCAGAACGAACGCUGGCGGCAGGCCUAACACAUGCAAGUCGAACGCUCCCUUCGGGGGGAGUGGCGGACGGGUGAGUAACGCGUGGGAACCUGGCUCUUGGUACGGAACAACCGCGGGAAACUGCGGCUAAUACCGUAUACGCCCUGAGGGGGAAAGAUUUAUCGCCGAGGGAUGGGCCCGCGUCUGAUUAGCUAGUUGGUGAGGUAACGGCUCACCAAGGCAUCGAUCAGUAGCUGGUCUGAGAGGAUGAUCAGCCACACUGGGACUGAGACACGGCCCAGACUCCUACGGGAGGCAGCAGUGGGGAAUAUUGGACAAUGGGGGCAACCCUGAUCCAGCCAUGCCGCGUGAGUGACGAAGGCCUUAGGGUUGUAAAGCUCUUUCAGUGGUGACGAUGAUGACGGUAGCCACAGAAGAAGCCCCGGCUAACUCCGUGCCAGCAGCCGCGGUAAUACGGAGGGGGCAAGCGUUGUUCGGAAUUACUGGGCGUAAAGGGCGCGUAGCGGUCUGUUGCGUCAG